UACGGGGGGGGCAAGCGUUGUUCGGAAUUACUGGGCGUAAAGGGCUCGUAGGCGGCCAACUAAGUCCGACGUGAAAUCCCUCGGCUUAACCGAGGAACUGCCUGUCAGACUGGAAGGCUUGAGACCGGGAGAGGUGAGUGGAAUUCCCAGUGUAGCGGUGAAAUGCGUAGAUAUUGGGAGGAACACCGGUGGCGAAGGCGGCAUCCUGGACCAACACUGACACUGAUGAGCGAAAGCCAGGGGAGCAAACGGG
Molecule: ribosomal RNA, 253 nt
Filed under: uncultured bacterium
Lineage: Bacteria
Description: partial 16S ribosomal RNA
Rfam family: Bacterial small subunit ribosomal RNA
Source: RNAcentral